This 792-nucleotide ribosomal RNA is filed under the name uncultured Staphylococcus sp. RNAcentral's name for it is "bacterial SSU rRNA". It matches the Rfam family "Bacterial small subunit ribosomal RNA", at positions 99 to 878 of the family's 1533-position model. Lineage: Bacteria; Bacillati; Bacillota; Bacilli; Caryophanales; Staphylococcaceae. The record is from RNAcentral.
CGGACGGGUGAGUAACACGUGGGUAACCUACCUAUAAGACUGGGACAACUUCGGGAAACCGGAGCUAAUACCGGAUAAUAUGUUGAACCGCAUGGUUCAAUAGUGAAAGAUGGUUUUGCUAUCACUUAUAGAUGGACCCGCGCCGUAUUAGCUAGUUGGUGAGGUAACGGCUCACCAAGGCAACGAUACGUAGCCGACCUGAGAGGGUGAUCGGCCACACUGGAACUGAGACACGGUCCAGACUCCUACGGGAGGCAGCAGUAGGGAAUCUUCCGCAAUGGGCGAAAGCCUGACGGAGCAACGCCGCGUGAGUGAUGAAGGUCUUAGGAUCGUAAAACUCUGUUAUUAGGGAAGAACAAACGUGUAAGUAACUGUGCACGUCUUGACGGUACCUAAUCAGAAAGCCACGGCUAACUACGUGCCAGCAGCCGCGGUAAUACGUAGGUGGCAAGCGUUAUCCGGAAUUAUUGGGCGUAAAGCGCGCGUAGGCGGUUUUUUAAGUCUGAUGUGAAAGCCCACGGCUCAACCGUGGAGGGUCAUUGGAAACUGGAAAACUUGAGUGCAGAAGAGGAAAGUGGAAUUCCAUGUGUAGCGGUGAAAUGCGCAGAGAUAUGGAGGAACACCAGUGGCGAAGGCGACUUUCUGGUCUGUAACUGACGCUGAUGUGCGAAAGCGUGGGGAUCAAACAGGAUUAGAUACCCUGGUAGUCCACGCCGUAAACGAUGAGUGCUAAGUGUUAGGGGGUUUCCGCCCCUUAGUGCUGCAGCUACGCAUUAAGCACUCCGCCUGGGG